Molecule: long non-coding RNA, 2741 nt
Filed under: Marmota monax (woodchuck)
Lineage: Eukaryota; Metazoa; Chordata; Mammalia; Rodentia; Sciuridae
Source: RNAcentral
AGGGGUCUCACUAGUUUAGGGCCUUGCUAAGUUGCUGAGGCUGGCUUAGAACUGGCAAUUCUCCUGUCUCAGUCUCCUGAGUUGUUCAGCAAAGUGUUAUAUCUUUUUUAGUUAAGGAGAAAGAAGUUCCACCCAUAUUUAAUUCUUUAAAACCUGAUACAUGUAACAUUACAAUUCAGAAUUGAAAGGGAUCUUAGGGAUCAGCUAGUCAAAAAGUUAAAAACUACCAGCCCAAAGUCCAAAUUUUCAUGCCUCAAAUAGAUUUUUUUUUGUUACAACAUUCACAAUAUUUUUUGAGUUUAGAUGACUCUACCUGUAUAAGUGUUUUCUAUUAUUUGACCACAGUCCACACCAAUUCAUAAUACACCUUGCUGCUUCAGUCAUGUUCUUGCCUUCCUGACAAGAAGAAUGUAUCUGAAUGUUCAGUAUUCUCCCCUUCUCUCAUUCACUCAUUUUACAAAGUUAACAGACAACUGAGAAUUAAGUUAUUUACCUCAAAAUAUACAACUUUUUAAGUAGAGCCAUGCCUCUUAAAUCCCAAGAUAGUGUUGCUUUCUACAGCCUAAUGUUACCUUUUAGGAAACAAUACAGUAUAGUAUAUAAUCAAGUCUUAAGAUAUUUGGUAUAGCCUGUCAGAAAGAGGAAUAAUCACUGUGAGUUAGAUACUAAUGAAAGAAUACUUCAGAGACAUCCUUAUCACAGCCUCCUGAGAACUAUAUCCUCAGUGUAUGCUAAUCAGGAAGACUUUAUUCUGAUCUGUGAUUGUUCUUACUAUAUAGGGGGAAGAAAGACAUGAAUAUACUCCUAUAAAAGCUGAUAAAGGAAAUCAGUGAAUAGCAUUUUGUACAUACAGAAAAACAGUACCUCAUAAGGCCACCUACAUCUAGAUUCCUCCAAAAAUACCAUUUAUACUUCUAUUAGCAGAGGAAGAAGGGUCAUUAAAGCCAGGAGCUCUCCAGUGGAUUCUGGAUAAAUCUUCAACUCCCAAAUCCAAAUGUAACUUCAGCCACAAAUUAAUUGACAUGCUACCAAAGAUGAUUAAUAAAUGCCUAGUAGAACAAAGUCUAGUGAUAGAAUCUUUUGGUAAAAACAGGAUGUUAAUAUUAAUCCAUUGACAGGAAGUCUUAGGUACUUAGCUUCAGGUAGUUCUUUUACCUUAUCUGAAGUGCUUAAUAACAACCCAGUUCAUCCACUCCUAUACCGUUCAUCUUCUUUAACUUGCCUUGUUUGAUUGGUUUUUUUGUUUGUUUUUUUUUUCCCAUUCUUUAUACUGCUAAUCACAUCUUGACAUAUUUUAUAUUAGCUUUGUUUUUCUUCCUUUAGAUAGUAAAUUCUGAGGACAAACUCUUGUUCACUGCUUUGCUUUAGUCCCAUUGUCUAGAACAGUGUCAGGCAUAUAGUAAGCACACUUGCAUAUAUUUGUUGAUGUAGAAUAUUGAAUGGUAAAUUAUAGUAGUCUUGAUGGAAGCUGUCAUUUCCUAGAUUUUCUUUUCCAAUCCAUAGAUUGUAGUACAGCUUUAGUAAAUUGAUUGAACUACAGCUUUAGUAAAUGUUCACACCAACUAGUUAAUCGAGAAUUUUGGUUGGUUUUUUUGUUUGUUUGUUUGUUUUAACAUGUAAGCCUUUUAUUAGGAUUUUUAAUUUGCUUGAUUAUUUUUAGAAUUCUUGUUCAUAAUUUAGAUCAAUAAUUUGGAUCUACAGUUGGGUCUUAUUAAUGAAGAAUGUUAAUAGGUAAUACAGAAUGGUAAAUAAUUGAAUCAGUUAUUUGCUUUUUGGUAUGACUUUAAUAACAGUGGAAUAUAUUUAGAGUAAAGCCAUUUCUCAACUUUUUUGUUUGACUUAUAAAUAUCCAAGAUUUUCUGCUACAUCAGAAUCAUUAUGACAUUCAUUAUUUUGUCUUCUUGUGAAAAUACCACAAGUAUUUCAUGAAAUAAUAUCUUAGAUAAAUUUAUUGAACUUAGUGUAAAAUAGGAUUAUGUCUUUUUGCCACUUUUCAUUUUAAGCAGUUAUGAAACAACCACUGAAAACUGACUCUGGAAGUAGCUGUAGGAGGUUUUGUUUUUAUGUUUUUGCUGUGGUUUGCUCUAGGACUAGAACUAAACAACUUCUUAAAUUGAUAAAAAGAAUGUGAGCAAAGCUAGUCUAUAAGUAAGUGGGGAAAAUAUAGAAAUAAUAAAUAAACAACUUUUAAAUGAAUGAAUCGCGUGGCCUAUAAUCUCAGUGGCUCGGGAAGCUGAGGCAGGUGAAUUGCCGGUUCAGAGCCAACCUCAGCAACUUAACAAGGCCCUAAGUAACUCAGUGAGACCUUGUCUCAAAAAAAAAAGGGGGGGUGGGGGUAGGAAUGUGGCUCAGUGGUUAGGUGGCCCUGGGUUCAAUCCCCAGUACCAAAAGUAAUGAUGAUAGUGAUAAUGACCUCUUUUUAAUGUGGGGGAUCAAACCCUGGACCUCACACACGAUGCAUGUGCUCUACUAUUAAGCUAUACCCCAAGCACAAAAAUAAUUUUUUCAGACAUUAUAAACAUUUAUACAUUUGGAAAAUUAGAUUAAAAAUGUUGAAAUUUAACAAUAGUGAAACUUUGUUUUGAUAGUUUUCUUUAAAAAUUUAACUCAUUUACCUCAUCUAUAAUCUGGAACAAACAAGGUAAACGAUACUUCACAUUUAUAAUUAUAGAAGCUGUCUUUUUUACUGAUGAAGGAAUGUGUCUUUUAGUGGAAUUAGUGGUAACACUCCUAAUAUGCGC